Molecule: ribosomal RNA, 506 nt
Filed under: uncultured bacterium
Lineage: Bacteria
Description: partial 16S ribosomal RNA
Rfam family: Bacterial small subunit ribosomal RNA
Source: RNAcentral
GAUGAACGCUAGCUACAGGCUUAACACAUGCAAGUCGAGGGGUAACGAGAGGGAAGCUUGCUUUCCUUGUCGACGACCGGCGCACGGGUGAGUAACGCGUAUCCAACCUGCCCCCAACUAGGGAAUAACCUUGCGCUAGUAAGACUAAUACCCUAUAAUUUCCUCAGAUGUCAUCUGACGAGGAAUAAAGAUUUAUCGGUUGUGGAUGGGGAUGCGUCUGAUUAGCUUGUUGGCGGGGUAACGGACCACCAAGGCAACGAUCAGUAGGGGUUCUGAGAGGAAGGUCCCCCACAUUGGAACUGAGACACGGUCCAAACUCCUACGGGAGGCAGCAGUGAGGAAUAUUGGUCAAUGGGCGGAAGCCUGAACCAGCCAAGUAGCGUGCAGGAUGACGGCCCUGUGGGUUGUAAACUGCUUUUAUACAGGAAUAAAGUUAGCCACGUGUGGUUAUUUGUAGGUACUGUAUGAAUAAGGACCGGCUAAUUCCGUGCCAGCAGCCGCGGUAA